This 73-nucleotide transfer RNA is filed under the name Cytophagia bacterium. Its description in RNAcentral is "tRNA-Lys". It matches the Rfam family "tRNA". From Rfam's summary of the family: Transfer RNA (tRNA) molecules are approximately 80 nucleotides in length. RNAcentral also lists the same sequence under 1 other name. The record is from RNAcentral. Lineage: Bacteria; Pseudomonadati; Bacteroidota; Cytophagia.
GCGCCAUUAGCUCAGUUGGUAGAGCACCGGACUCUUAAUCCGUCGGUCCAAGGUUCGAUCCCUUGAUGGCGUA